This 440-nucleotide ribosomal RNA is filed under the name uncultured bacterium. Its description in RNAcentral is "partial 16S ribosomal RNA". It matches the Rfam family "Bacterial small subunit ribosomal RNA", at positions 338 to 795 of the family's 1533-position model. The record is from RNAcentral.
CCUACGGGAGGCAGCAGUGGGGGAUAUUGCACAAUGGGGGAAACCCUGAUGCAGCGACGCCGCGUGAGUGAAGAAGGGACUCGGCGCGUAAAGCCCUAUCAGCAGGGAAGAAAAUGACGGUACCUGAAGAAGAAGCCCCGGCUAACUACGUGCCAGCAGCCGCGGUAAUACGUAGGGGGCAAGCGUUAUCCGGAUUUACUGGGUGUAAAGGGGGCGCAGACGGCGCGGCAAGUCGGGGGUGAAAGGCCGGGGCCCAACCCCGGGACUGCUCUUGGAACUGGCGAGCUGGAGUGCGGGAGGGGCAAGCGGAAUUCCUGGUGUAGCGGUGAAAUGCGUAGAUAUUAGGAGGAACACCGGUGGCGAAGGCGGCCUGCUGGACUGUAACUGACGUUGAGGCUCGAAAGCGUGGGGAGCAAACAGGAUUAGAUACCCCUGUAGUC